This 250-nucleotide ribosomal RNA is filed under the name uncultured bacterium. Its description in RNAcentral is "partial 16S ribosomal RNA". It matches the Rfam family "Bacterial small subunit ribosomal RNA", at positions 57 to 305 of the family's 1533-position model. The record is from RNAcentral.
GCAAGUCGAGCGGUAACAUUUCUAGCUUGCUAGAAGAUGACGAGCGGCGGACGGGUGAGUAAUGCUUGGGAAUAUGCCUUUGAGUGGGGGACAACAGUUGGAAACGACUGCUAAUACCGCAUAACGUCUACGGACCAAAGGGGGGGAUCUUCGGGCCUCUCGCGUCAGGAUAUGCCUAGGUGGGAUUAGCUAGUUGGUGAGGUAAUGGCUCACCAAGGCGACGAUCCCUAGCUGGUCUGAGAGGAUGAUC